AGUGAACGCUGGCGGUAGGCCUAACACAUGCAAGUCGAACGGCAGCACAGUAAGAGCUUGCUCUUACGGGUGGCGAGUGGCGGACGGGUGAGGAAUACAUCGGAAUCUACUUUUUCGUGGGGGAUAACGUAGGGAAACUUACGCUAAUACCUCAUACGACCUACGGGUGAAAGCAGGGGAUCUUCGGACCUUGCGCGAUUGAAUGAGCCGAUGUCGGAUUAGCUAGUUGGCGGGGUAAAGGCCCACCAAGGCGACGAUCCGUAGCUGGUCUGAGAGGAUGAUCAGCCACACUGGAACUGAGACACGGUCCAGACUCCUACGGGAGGCAGCAGUGGGGAAUAUUGGACAAUGGGCGCAAGCCUGAUCCAGCCAUACCGCGUGGGUGAAGCAGGCCUUCGGGUUGUAAAGCCCUUUUGUUGGGAAAGAAAAGCAGCAGGUUAAUACCCCGCUGUUCUGACGGUACCCAAAGAAUAAGCACCGGCUAACUUCGUG
This 492-nucleotide ribosomal RNA is filed under the name uncultured bacterium. RNAcentral describes it as "partial 16S ribosomal RNA". It matches the Rfam family "Bacterial small subunit ribosomal RNA", at positions 29 to 507 of the family's 1533-position model. The record is from RNAcentral.